AGUUUAUAUAAGGGAAAGAGGAAACCCUAGCUAUAUGUAAGUUCAGCGAGCAGAGACGACGCAUCUAAGUUCGGCGAAUUCACCAUGAGAGCCAAGUGGAAGAAGAAGCGCAUGAGGAGGUUGAAGAGGAAGCGCAGGAAGAUGAGACAGAGAUCUAAGUAGUCUGCGUCAUCGUGCCUUAUCCAUAAAUCUCUGUGAUCCCUUUCUUGUUUCUUGAACCCUUUAUGUUUCUUGUUCUUACAUUUAACGUUUCAAACAAUCGUCUGUAGAACAUGUUUUGCUCACUCCCUUUUAUAUCUAUUACAAGCAGAGAUUUUAUCUUAUAAUUUUCUGGA
This is a long non-coding RNA of Brassica oleracea var. oleracea, 335 nucleotides long. RefSeq lists it as uncharacterized. NCBI's taxonomy places the organism in Eukaryota, Viridiplantae, Streptophyta, Magnoliopsida, Brassicales, Brassicaceae. The transcript is spliced from 2 exons. The record is from RefSeq and is a predicted model, not a curated record.